ACGGGUAUCCUAAGGUACCUAGGCUAUAUAAAGACUGUUAACUAUUCAAAUAGUUAGGGACAACCGCAAUCCUUAGUCUUUAGUUUUGCU
This is a non-coding RNA of Mannheimia haemolytica M42548, 90 nucleotides long. The record is from Rfam. Lineage: Bacteria; Pseudomonadati; Pseudomonadota; Gammaproteobacteria; Pasteurellales; Pasteurellaceae.